AGCCUGAACGCUGGCGGCGUGGCUAAGACAUGCAAGUCGAACGGGUGUAGCAAUACACCAGUGGCGGACGGGUGAGUAAUGUAUCGCUAACGUGCCCUGGAAUCUGAGAUAGCCAACCGAAAGGUUGGGUAAUACCAGAUGAAAUAUCCUUAUCGCAUGGUGAGGAUCUCAAAGGAGCAAUCCGGUCUGGGAGCGGGCGAUAUCGUAUCAGCUAGUUGGUGAGGUAACGGCUCACCAAGGCGACGACGCGUAGCCGGGCUGAGAGGUCGGCCGGCCACAUUGGGACUGAGACACUGCCCAGACUCCUACGGGGGGCUGCAGUAACGAAUCUUCCGCAAUGCACGAAAGUGUGACGGAGCGACGCCGCGUGUAGGAUGAAGUCCUUCGGGAUGUAAACUACUGUCAGGGGAAAGAAGUUCUGAUCUACCCCAGAGGAAGAGACGGCUAACUCUGCGCCAGCAGCCGCGGU
This 469-nucleotide ribosomal RNA is filed under the name uncultured bacterium. RNAcentral's name for it is "SSU rRNA". It matches the Rfam family "Bacterial small subunit ribosomal RNA", at positions 26 to 521 of the family's 1533-position model. The record is from RNAcentral.